ACGUCUGGCAGCAUCUCUGGCUGCUGUUGACCUUGUUUCUGGAGUAAAACACGAUGUUCAGAGGGAGAUGAUGCCACAUCAUUGUCCAGCUGAUGGAAGGUCUUGAAGUUCUCUGACUGGCCUCGACUGAAGAUGGUCGUCUCACUGGAUUUAAGGUUCAGAUGCUCAGUAACAAACUCCACCAAUGAGCCAACAGGGAAGCUUUUGGUUUAUUAAAUGUUGCUAUGAAGGUAUCGCUGUUUUUCUUUGUGAAUGCAAUGUGCUCCAACUGAAACUUGAAUUAGAACUUAGAAGUAAAUCCUUCCAUCUGAAAGGAUUUAGUUGCAUUAAUAACCUCAUAACGUUCUAAUUUUUAUUCCAGUCAUUGUUGGAAAUAGAAUCUCUGUAUUGAUUCAGGUAAAAACUGAACUUCACAGCAUGUUGAAGCAAAACAACCAGAUGAAAACUGUGAUGGUGUUGGAUUGUCAGACCGUAAUGUUGCAGCUCAAAGCAGCUUUUCUAUCUCAGUUCAUUCUGACAUUCAGCUAUGAAUCAACACAGCAGAUGGUGAUCCAUGCUGUGGAAGUCUCACAUCUCCUGAUUUAAUGGAGCUGCUUUGCACUUUUUACACUGUUUAUUCACCAACACUUUAUUUAAUAAAAGUCCCAUCUAGUUUUUAUGAGGAAUGUGAUGUUUUAAUUUCUCUGUGAAUAACUGCAGUCUAAUGCAACAGCUGGAGUUGUAACAUCUGUCCUGAUAUUGAUCAUGAAGUAUUGAUCAGAAUACUUAUGGUUAGCAGUCAUCCCUGAAGUUUUACAUUAAAAUCUUUACUUGUGUUGUGAACUUUGGUAAGAAGCAGAAACGUUAGCGUUGCCAUGGAUACAUGAGUGUUAAAUUCUGUCCAUGUUUCCAUUUUGGGAAAUGCAGUCCAGUUCCAGAAUGUGGAGGAAUUUAGUCUCACAAUCACAGACAACAAAUAUUAUCUGAAAGUCGGGUUAUUGUUGUUUAUCAGCACAAUACAAAAAGAUUAAUGUUAGAAAUAUUCCAGUUAAGACCAUAGAAUAUCAUGAUUUAUGUAAAUUUACCUCAAUAAUAUGAAUGUUCAGGUUAAGAUUGUACAGUGAUAUUUAUUAUGUAAGUUUAGCUGAUUAAAGUUUAUGACUCUGCACUAAAAUAUUAUUUAAAUUGACAUCAUUAUUAUAAUAUUUAGGGUCAGACCCUACAGUAUUGAGAUUAAGAAAUCAAAUAUUCUAUAAAAUGUAAAUACACUGAACUCAUUUGGAUAUAUUUAAGUGAGACUCUACAAUAUUAUUUGACACAAAUCUAUCUAAAUCAAAAUUUUAAUAAUUUUCACUCCAAACAUUUACUGGACUGAUUUAAAUAUUAAAAUCACUCCUUUCUAAUCCUCUGCUGUACGUUCAAACCUGAGGCCUUAAAUAGAAACACACAAGUAUCUGAUUGAAGGAACUUCUGCAGAGUCCUGGUUCCAGAACAUGAUGAUAGAAUUAUAGACAAACUUUAACAAAAGCUGCCUGAGAGUUUACAGGUUUUUAUCUUAGAUUUCUUCAGUAAUUUAAUGAGAGUUAUCAGCAAAAAUCAAGUGUUCAUUUGAUGAACUUGAUUUCCUAAAACAUCCAGAAUUGGAGCUCAUAUCUUUGGCAGCUGUAAAGUUUCUGCUCCUUCAAAGUUCACAACACAAUGAAUGAAUUCCUAAAACACUCUCAAUGCUGGAGAGCGUUUGUGAUGCUGAAGCAGUGACCAGUUUUUCUGUUUCUUCUCUGGAGAUGCACAAUGAGGGACGUCUGCAGAGACUGAGAAAGAGUCUCACCACAUCCUGACAUGAGGAAAAAGACUUUACUGAAGACUACAAUGAGAAAAACUAUCAGCAGACGGCUGCAUUCAAGUCUGUAGCUGCUGAAUUCAUGGAUGAAUCAUCUGGCACUAGAGAGGAAGACCAUCAAACAUCCACGUCAGCUGAUGGAGGUCCAAGAGUCUCACCCAACAAACAACCUACAGAGUGAAGACCUCAAAUCUGAUUGGACGGCCUCCUAUUCAGCCACGUGUGAACAAAUGCCUCUAAGUUGAUUUGUUUUCUGAAAUAAAUCUAGUUUGAGUCCUA
Amphiprion ocellaris (clown anemonefish) is the source of this 2098-nucleotide long non-coding RNA. NCBI's taxonomy places the organism in Eukaryota, Metazoa, Chordata, Actinopteri, Pomacentridae. The record is from Ensembl.